CCUACGGGAGGCAGCAGUAGGGAAUCUUCCACAAUGGGCGAAAGCCUGAUGGAGCAACGCCGCGUGGGUGAAGAAGGUCUUCGGAUCGUAAAACUCUGUUGAUAGAGAAGAAAGUGCGGGAGCGUAACUGUUCACGUUUCGACGGUAUCUAACCAGAAAGCCACGGCUAACUACGUGCCAGCAGCCGCGGUAAUACGUAGGUGGCAAGCGUUAUCCGGAUUUAUUGGGCGUAAAGGGAACGCAGGCGGUCUGUUAAGUCUGUUGUGAAAGCCUUCGGCUUAACCGGAGUAGUGCAUUGGAUACUGGGAGACUUGAGUGCAGAAGAGGAGAGUGGAACUCCAGGUGUAGCGGUGAAAUGCGUAGAUAUAUGGAAGAACACCAGUGGCGAAGGCGGCUCUCUGGUCUGUAACUGACGCUGAGGUUCGAAAGCGUGGGUAGCAAACAGGAUUAGAUACCCGGGUAGUC
RNAcentral lists this ribosomal RNA (465 nucleotides) under uncultured bacterium. RNAcentral's name for it is "partial 16S ribosomal RNA". It matches the Rfam family "Bacterial small subunit ribosomal RNA", at positions 338 to 795 of the family's 1533-position model. The record is from RNAcentral.